GUGGUGUCCAUUUGAUCUAAAGAAAGGAGUCUCCAUCAGCUAUCCAGAGUUUUUGUCGUGAGCUAGCACUCCCGGAAAGGAUGAUUUGUUCGGGGCUUCGAGUGGACUACCUAUAGAGGCUGGACAUGCUGUGUGGCUGCUCAGUAUCAAGAAGGACCUCCUAUCACAUGCAUCAAUAGUGGUGAUUAUUGACCCAUAAUCAGGUAAUGGGUUCUGAACGCAUCGGAUCAGAUCUAAUUGUUAGAUCUGAUUCAGGGCAUCGA
Molecule: long non-coding RNA, 263 nt
Filed under: Elaeis guineensis (African oil palm)
Lineage: Eukaryota; Viridiplantae; Streptophyta; Magnoliopsida; Arecales; Arecaceae
Description: long non-coding RNA (EGUI_LNC055869)
Source: RNAcentral